AGUGAACGCUGGCGGUAGGCCUAACACAUGCAAGUCGAACGGCAGCACAGGAGAGCUUGCUCUCUGGGUGGCGAGUGGCGGACGGGUGAGGAAUACAUCGGAAUCUGCCCAGUCGUGGGGGAUAACGUAGGGAAACUUACACUAAUACCGCAUACGACCUUCGGGUGAAAGAGGGGGAUCGCAAGACCUCUCGCGAUUGGAUGAGCCGAUGUCGGAUUAGCUAGUUGGCGGGGUAAUGGCCCACCAAGGCGACGAUCCGUAGCUGGUCUGAGAGGAUGAUCAGCCACACUGGAACUGAGACACGGUCCAGACUCCUACGGGAGGCAGCAGUGGGGAAUAUUGGACAAUGGGCGCAAGCCUGAUCCAGCCAUACCGCGUGGGUGAAGAAGGCCUUCGGGUUGUAAAGCCCUUUUGUUGGGAAAGAAAUCUUUCAGGCUAAUACCCUGGGAGGAUGACGGUACCCAAAGAAUAAGCACCGGCUAACUUCGUG
Molecule: ribosomal RNA, 490 nt
Filed under: uncultured bacterium
Lineage: Bacteria
Description: partial 16S ribosomal RNA
Rfam family: Bacterial small subunit ribosomal RNA
Source: RNAcentral